UAAACAGGAUUCCCUAGUAACGGCGAGUGAAGCGGGAAGAGCUCAAGCUUAAAAUCUGCGGCGCUUGCGUCGUCAGAAUUGUAGUUGAGAGAAGUGCUUUCACCGUGACGACCGAUGGCCUAAGUUGCUUGGAACAGCACGUCAUAGAGGGUGAGAAUCCCGUCUGUGGUUGGUCGGUCCAGCGGAACGAUGCACUUUCGAAGAGUCGGGUUGUUUGGGAAUGCAGCCCAAAAUGGGUGGUAAACUCCAUCUAAAGCUAAAUACUGCCACGAGACCGAUAGCGAACAAGUACCGUGAGGGAAAGAUGAAAAGCACUUUGAAAAGAGAGUUAAAAGCACGUGAAACCGUUGAAAGGGAAACGCGCUCGGCUAGCAAUGCACGUCAAUGGUUCAGCCGGCUAGUCUUGUCGAGUCGCCGCUUGAUGGAUCCGAACGGACCGCGGGUGGUGGCAUCGGUGGGCGAGCUGUGGUGCACUCCGUGGGCGUGCGCGUCAGCGUCGGUUCUCGACGGGCGAUGAGGUGCGUGCGGGGAAGGUAGCUCGGUCCUCGGACGGAGUGUUAUAGACCCGCUCGGCGCUGGGCUCGUCGUGGGACCGAGGAGAGAGAUGAUCGUUGCGGCGCCUGCUUAGCUAGCCAGCCGCUGUCGGGUGCGGCGUCACGCGUCGAGGACUGCACGCAGUGCUUGGUGCGGAGGCGUGAUCCGGCGGUGGUGUGGGCAUAGAGGCGCCUAGGACGCUGGCGUCCAAAUGGCCGUGCGCGACCCGUCUUGAAACACGGACCAAGGAGUCUAACAUGUGCGCGAGUCUUAGGGUGUGCAAGCCCUCGGGCGCAAUGAAAGUGAAGGCUCGACGCUGGUCGGGCUGAGGUGAGAGCCGCUUCUGGCCUGACUGCCA
Molecule: ribosomal RNA, 892 nt
Filed under: Leucosolenida sp. 1 JV-2020
Lineage: Eukaryota; Metazoa; Porifera; Calcarea; Leucosolenida
Description: partial large subunit ribosomal RNA
Rfam family: Eukaryotic large subunit ribosomal RNA
Source: RNAcentral